CGAGGAUUCCCCUAGUAACGGCGAGUGAACGGGGAAGAGCCCAGCGCUGAAUCCAUCGUCCACUGGUCGCUUGGAGUUGUAGCGUAUAGGUGCGGCUGUCCGCUUGUUUCGCGCACCCCAAAGUCCCCUUGAGUGGGGCUACAGUCCAAAGAAGGUGCUAGACCUGUACGGGUGGCGAGACGGUCGGUUGGUCGCUCCUUGGAGUCGGGUUGCCUGGGAUCGCAGCCCAAAGUAGGUGGUAGACCUCAUCUAAGGCUAAAUAUGGCCACGAAACCGAUAGCAAACAAGUACCGUGAGGGAAAGUUGCAAAGAACUUUGAAGAGAGAGUUCAAGAGGGCGUGAAACCGCUAAGAUGGAAACGGAUAGAGUUGACGGAGCUCUACCGCAUUCGUCCGAUCCAGCGGCCCGAUGGUUUUGACUUCCUCGAUGAGGGUGAGACUAUCGAUAGUUGUUGGGUAUUGGAUUGGUGUAUUUGCGGUUGGUAUGCGCUGAGGGCUUUGUGAGCGCAUCUCGACGGGCGUCAGUGGACCAUACCUUCCCGGUGUGGAACCCUUCAUGCUCUUAGGCAUGUCGCUUGUAAAGUUGCAUAAAUGCCGUCUCCGCUAUGGUGCAUCAGCUUUGAUGAGUUGCUUUGGCUUCAAGCUAGUCGCAUGCGACUGCUAGUCGUCAUUUGUAGCUUGUUGAAGUGUAGAUGCGCCGAGACGUGCACCUCGGUGUGAACGUCGACCACCUAUCCGA
This 738-nucleotide ribosomal RNA is filed under the name Contracaecum multipapillatum. RNAcentral's name for it is "eukaryotic LSU rRNA". It matches the Rfam family "Eukaryotic large subunit ribosomal RNA", at positions 69 to 647 of the family's 3401-position model. Lineage: Eukaryota; Metazoa; Nematoda; Chromadorea; Rhabditida; Anisakidae. The record is from RNAcentral.